GGGAAUUCUGCGCAAUGGGGGAAACCCUGACGCAGCAACGCCGCGUGGAGGAUGAAAUCCCUUGGGAUGUAAACUCCUUUCGAUAGGGAAGAUAAUGACGGUACCUAUAGAAGAAGCCCCGCUAACUUCGUGCCAGCAGCCGCGGUAAUACGAGGGGGGCAAGCGUUGUUCGGAAUUAUUGGGCGUAAAGGGUGCGUAGGCGGUUUGACAAGUCUCAUGUGAAAUCUUCGGGCUCAGCUCGAAGUCUGCAUGGGAAACUGUCGGGCUUGAGUAUGGGAGAGGUGAGUGGAAUUUCCGGUGUAGCGGUGAAAUGCGUAGAUAUCGGAAGGAACACCUGUGGCGAAAGCGGCUCACUGGACCAUAACUGACGCUGAGGCACGAAAGCUAGGGGAGCAAA
Molecule: ribosomal RNA, 397 nt
Filed under: uncultured bacterium
Lineage: Bacteria
Description: bacterial SSU rRNA
Rfam family: Bacterial small subunit ribosomal RNA
Source: RNAcentral